UCCGGGGGCGGCGGAGCGAGCGGCGGAGGUUGCGCGGGUGCGGCGCGGCUGGAGCGGCGGCGGUGCCGACCUGCGCUUCUCCCGGGUUUUGGGGUUUUUUUCCUUUCUUUUUUUUUUUUUUUUUUUCCUUUUUCUUUCCUUUUCCUGUACCUUAGAUGAAAAUGGCGAACCACUGACUUGGCGAACGUUUGAGAAGGCAGAGAUGGCAGGCUGUGCCGGAGGGGGGGGGCACGGAGUUGCGACGCCCAUCACCGCCGCCCACGCCGGGCAGCCUCUGCUAGGAGAACGGGCAGAAAUCGGGCAAAACCGGGCAGAAAUCGGGCAAAACCGGGCAGAAACCUGCCGGGCUGCGAACUUUCUCGGCGAGUAAAAACGGUGCCGCGGAGCGGGCGGAUGCUGCGGCGGAAACUGCGCUCCCGCGUAGGGAUUAUUCACGGUUUUAUUUAUUUUAUUUAUUUUUUUUUUUUUAAUUGUCAUGCCACAGAUCUACAACUGUACGUGCAAAUAAAAGCGAGAGCUCACGGAUACCGCUUUCCUUA
Aquila chrysaetos chrysaetos is the source of this 539-nucleotide long non-coding RNA. RefSeq lists it as uncharacterized. The transcript has 2 exons. Lineage: Eukaryota; Metazoa; Chordata; Aves; Accipitriformes; Accipitridae. The record is from RefSeq and is a predicted model, not a curated record.